Molecule: ribosomal RNA, 173 nt
Filed under: uncultured bacterium
Lineage: Bacteria
Description: partial 16S ribosomal RNA
Rfam family: Bacterial small subunit ribosomal RNA
Source: RNAcentral
UCCUACGGGAGGCAGCAGUGGGGAAUAUUGCACAAUGGGGGAAACCCUGAUGCAGCGACGCCGCGUGAGUGAAGAAGUAUUUCGGUAUGUAAAGCUCUAUCAGCAGGGAAGAAGAAAUGACGGUACCUGACUAAGAAGCCCCGGCUAACUACGUGCCAGCAGCCGCGGUAAUA